AGACCUAGGCAGGUCUGGCCCUAUCCCCUCCUCUGAGAUGCCACAGAGGUCAACGCUCAGACAGGGCCCAAACCCAGGAGGGCAUCUGCUAGGCAUCCCUCCUGCAGGAGUGGGAGCCGAGGCUGGAGUGGAAGUCAGGGAAGUGCCCACUGGUCCACCCUCCGUUCAGUGCUCAGCCCCUUGUUCACUAGAAUAUUCUUUCAGAUGGCACUGCCCCUCCCAGCCCCUCCCAGGCUUGGCGGUUUCCCCCACCCCCCCACCAUCACCCCUACCCCCUACCCCCCCCCACGCCCCCGCAGGAGGCCUCAGGCUGGUCCCAACCUUCCGCCCCAGCAGGGGCCCCUCAGAGGUCAGUUGUCACAUUCCUUCAUUUUAUGUAUGAGGAAACUGAGCCCCAGAGAGGGCAACAGGCUGCCUGAGGCCUUGCACCUGGUAGCACACGAGAUGCAGGGACCUCCAUCUCCUGGGAUGACCUCGUAGCCUUCUUGUGGGGGUGGGAGUUGGGGGUGGUCCCUCCGCACUUCAGGAACCCUGGGCCAGGACCCAUGGAAGGCCGCAUCUUUGCCGAUGCUACACUGUGGGUCAGCAGUCCUUCCUCUGCUGACCCACAGCAGGUUUCUGCCACAGGUGCGAGUGCUCCCAUUGUUCUGAGGGUGCCAUGUGUCCCCGUUCGUUCCACUCCAGAGCUGGGAUGGGAGCUGGAUCCGGGAGGAGUAAGAUAGGAAGGGUGCACCUCGGCUGCAGUGGAACCCCGUCUGCCCGGCUCUGCUGCCUCCUUGCCCUUGGCCAAGUCCCCUCCUCUCGCCGAGCCUCAGUUUCCUCAGCUGUAAAACAAGGAUGCUGGACAGCAAUCUCUAGAUUCCUCUGACCACGACCGAUUGCCCACCUGCCUCGCCGAGGCUCUUGGCACCCUUGGCACAAGUCCUGGGCGGGGUCAAUCCAAGCAAUCACUCUCUUCUCUAUGCCUGUGAGUCACUGGCCUUGUGGGGUUGGGCUUCACCCCCAACCCCACCCAGCUCUCCAGGCCCUGCUCACAACCGGGGCUGACCGCUUCCCCAAACCAGCCUCCAAGGGAGGCCUUCCUGCCUCUCAGAGCCCUUAUGGGAACUGACAUAGAAGAUCAGAAGGGAGAGCUGUUGGCGGGGUGCAAAGGCUCCCUCCAGGGCCGGUGUGACUGUCCUUUCUCUCCAGUGUCUCGGAUCCCAGCAGGGUGCCCAGCCUGGGCUUCUCUGCCAUCCAAAGUGGACAAAUGUGACAUCACCAGGGAGGCCCAGCCAGGACACUGGGGCAAGAAGGAGCUCACUGGUGACUGCUUUCCACCCAGGGUUUUGGUCAUCAAGACAGUCCAUUAUACAGACGAGAAAACUGAGGCCCAGAGGAAACGAGGGCCCUGUCCAAGGCCACAUGGCUAGAAGAGGCAGAGCAGGAAUUUGCACUCAAGGCUCUCUAGGACUUAGACGCCCUAGAAAAAUCCAGGAGCUGCAGUCACUACUGUCACAUCCCACAAAGCCCUGGGAGGCUCGCUGGCUCUUCAGAGCUCGGCUCUUUAUUAUUUAUGGUCCCUGCCCACUUCCAGAAGUUGGAGUCAGCUUCCCAGAAAGAUACAUACGUUGGAGGAGUAGCGGAGAAUCCACAGCACAAGACUUUGGAGGUUGCAGGUGGCCUGGCCGGACUAGGGGGUGGGAAUGUCCACCAGUUUCCACCAAGGACUGGGCGGUAAUGGUGUCAUGGAGCCCCCAUGAUGUCACCCAGUUCCUGGGAGUCCCAGCUAUUUGCAGAUUCUGGCUUUAAUGAGAGCCCACAAGGUCCAGAUGCUGUGCUGAAGUGAAAGUCAGUCUUUUGCUUCCUAGACCGGGUUGUUCCCAUGAUGUCAUGGCCCCUGUUCUUGCCCAGCGUUCAGCUCAGCUGGACUUGUCUCCUUAGUAAGCCUUUGCUUGCCCACUCAUGAAGCAAAGAGCGUACCAGGCUUGGGGUCAGAGACACAUAGGGCAUCGGUUCCACCUCACCUGUGACCUGGCCAAGGGUUGUACAGCUGAGUUGCAGCUUCCUAAGCUCUGAAUCUGAGCCAAGGUGGUGGCAUCAGCCCAGCAUCUGUGCCCCUUUCUCCUGCCAACAGCAUCCCAAUGCCCCCUGGAAGUUUUCCCUCCCUUACCCAUAGUUCCUAAAGGACCCCAGCCUUACCUAUUUCCCGGCCACAGUGACUGAUGUCAGGAAUAGCCACGUGACUCAAGGCAGAGCAAGCAGAGCCAGGACUGAGGUCUUUGUUGGAAUUAUCGGGAAAGUGGCAGGAAGUGGAGGGAUGUGCCCCCUCUUGGGCAGCAAACCUGGUAUUUCUGGUGGCAUCUUACCACCAUGAGAGUGUAGUCAGCAGGGGGAGAGCAGAUAGAGGGAGACACUGACUCCUGAUGACACUGUUUGGGCAUCAUGAUCCAGCUGUGCCUGAAGCUGGUAUGCUCUAGACCUGUUAGUAACCUAAACUUAGAUCAUUUAUAAAACUAAGACUCUAAAGAACCCUAAUUUCCCACCCCUUAUUGAGACUCCUUUGUAAGCAUGAGGCAUUUUGUGCAGUUUUCAUCAAAUAUUAAGUGCUGCUUCUUACACAUGGACACAAUCAUUAACCCUCUUUUCUUUUUUUCUUUCUUUCUUUUUUUCGGCUGCACCCGCAGCAUAUGGAGGUUCCUGAGCCAGGUUUUGAUUCCAAGCACAGCUUCGACAUAUGCCAUAGGUGCACCAAUGCCAGAUCCUUAACUCACUGCUCCACAGUGGGAAAUCCGAUCCUCUCUUUUUUUGUUGUUGCCUUUUUUUUUUUUUGUCUUUUGUCCUUUUAGGGCUGCACCCGGGGCAUAUGGAAGUUUCCCAGGUUAGGGGUUGAAUCGGAGGUGUAGCCACCGGCCUAUGUCAGAGCCACAGCAACACAAGAUCUGAGCCGUGCCUUCAACCUACACCACAGCUCACGGCAACGCUGGAUCCUUAACCCACUGAGCAAGGCCAGAGAUAGAACCCACAUCCUCAUGGUUCCUAGUCGGAUUCGUUAACUGCUGAGUCAUGACGGGAACU
This 3057-nucleotide long non-coding RNA is filed under the name Sus scrofa (pig). RNAcentral's name for it is "lncRNA (ENSSSCG00000055196.1)". Lineage: Eukaryota; Metazoa; Chordata; Mammalia; Artiodactyla; Suidae. The record is from RNAcentral.